Molecule: ribosomal RNA, 440 nt
Filed under: uncultured bacterium
Lineage: Bacteria
Description: bacterial SSU rRNA
Rfam family: Bacterial small subunit ribosomal RNA
Source: RNAcentral
AUUGAACGCUGGCGGCAUGCUUUACACAUGCAAGUCGAACGGUAGACCCUUUCGGGGGUUGAGAGUGGCGAACGGGUGAGUAAUGCAUCGGAACGUGCCUAGUCGUGGGGGAUAACGUAGCGAAAGUUACGCUAAUACCGCAUACGCACUGAGGUGGAAAGCGGGGGACCGUAAGGCCUCGCGCGAUUGGAGCGGCCGAUGUCGGAUUAGCUAGUUGGUGAGGUAAAGGCUCACCAAGGCGACGAUCCGUAGCGGGUCUGAGAGGAUGAUCCGCCACACUGGGACUGAGACACGGCCCAGACUCCUACGGGAGGCAGCAGUGGGGAAUUUUGGACAAUGGGCGCAAGCCUGAUCCAGCCAUGCCGCGUGCGGGAAGAAGGCCUCGGUUGUAACGACUUCGUACAGAAGAAAUACGCAUGGACUAAUAACUACUGUGUGGA